CUGCGAUUCACUGAACAACCAUUGGUAUUAGAAUUGAAAUCUUCCCAUACUUUCUCUGGUUCCUCCACUGGGGAAGGGCCCUGGCAAAUGUGUUGCUUUUCAUUUUUGAGGGGAGGAAGAAGAGUGUCUGGAGCACUGAAUCCAACAGGGCCUCUAUCCAUCGUACCACCCAGUUGCCUAUUAAGUGACUUGCAGUUGAUAUGUGUGAGGAGCAUAACAAAUCCAGAUCUUCUUGAAUCCAACAUCGGCACUACCCAAUGCCUGCUACCACAGGCAAAAUUUUAC
Long non-coding RNA from Antechinus flavipes (yellow-footed antechinus), 285 nucleotides. RefSeq lists it as uncharacterized. The record is from RefSeq and is a predicted model, not a curated record. The transcript is spliced from 3 exons. Lineage: Eukaryota; Metazoa; Chordata; Mammalia; Dasyuromorphia; Dasyuridae.